Molecule: ribosomal RNA, 390 nt
Filed under: uncultured bacterium
Lineage: Bacteria
Description: bacterial SSU rRNA
Rfam family: Bacterial small subunit ribosomal RNA
Source: RNAcentral
AACGAACGCUGGCGGCGCGCCUAAUACAUGCAAGUCGAGCGAGAAGACGUAGCAAUACGUUUGUAAAGCGGCGAACGGGUGAGGAAUACAUGGGUAACCUACCCUCGAGUGGGGAAUAACUAGCCGAAAGGUUAGCUAAUACCGCGUACGCUCCUUGGACUUCGGUUCAUGGAGGAAAGCGAUACCGUGGGUAUCGCGCUCUUGGAUGGGCUCAUGUCCUAUCAGCUUGNGGUGAGGUAACGGCUCACCAAGGCUUCAACGGGUAGCUGGUCUGAGAGGACGAUCAGCCACACUGGCACUGCGACACGGGCCAGACUCCUACGGGAGGCAGCAGUAAGGAAUAUUGCGCAAUGGGCGAAAGCCUGACGCAGCGACGCCGCGUGGGGGAGU